GUGCCAGCCGCCGCGGUAAUACAGAGAGUGCGAACGUUGUUCGGAAUUACUGGGCUUAAAGCGUACGUAGGCGGCGCAACAAGUGUCGGGUGAAAGCCCACGGCUCACCCGUGGAACUGCCCGGCAAACUGUUGUGCUCGAGUGUGGUAGGGGAGAGCGGAACUCCUGGUGGAGCGGUGAAAUGCGUAGAUAUCAGGAGGAACACCGGUGGCGAAGGCGGCUCUCUGGUCCACAACUGACGCUGAGGUACGAAAGCUAGGGUAGCGAACGGGAUUAGAUGCCCCGGUAGUCCUAGCCGUAAACGAUGGGCACUAGCUGGGGGCCUCCCUGUGUGGUUCCAGGUGAAGCAAAAGUGAUAAGUGCCCCGCCUGGGGAGUAUGGUCGCAAGGCUGAAACUUAAAUGAAUUGACGGGG
RNAcentral lists this ribosomal RNA (414 nucleotides) under uncultured prokaryote. Its description in RNAcentral is "bacterial SSU rRNA". It matches the Rfam family "Bacterial small subunit ribosomal RNA", at positions 505 to 918 of the family's 1533-position model. The record is from RNAcentral.